GGGAGCAAACAGGAUUAGAUACCCUGGUAGUCCACGCCGUAAACGAUGUCGACUUGGAGGUUGUGCCCUUGAGGCGUGGCUUCCGGAGCUAACGCGUUAAGUCGACCGCCUGGGGAGUACGGCCGCAAGGUUAAAACUCAAAUGAAUUGACGGGGGCCCGCACAAGCGGUGGAGCAUGUGGUUUAAUUCGAUGCAACGCGAAGAACCUUACCUGGUCUUGACAUCCACGGAACUUUUCAGAGAUGAGAAUGUGCCUUCGGGAACCGUGAGACAGGUGCUGCAUGGCUGUCGUCAGCUCGUGUUGUGAAAUGUUGGGUUAAGUCCCGCAACGAGCGCAACCCUUAUCCUUUGUUGCCAGCGGUCCGGCCGGGAACUCAAAGGAGACUGCCAGUGAUAAACUGGAGGAAGGUGGGGAUGACGUCAAGUCAUCAUGGCCCUUACGACCAGGGCUACACACGUGCUACAAUGGCGCAUACAAAGAGAAGCGACCUCGCGAGAGCAAGCGGACCUCAUAAAGUGCGUCGUAGUCCGGAUUGGAGUCUGCAACUCGACUCCAUGAAGUCGGAAUCGCUAGUAAUCGUGGAUCAGAAUGCCACGGUGAAUACGUUCCCGGGCCUUGUACACACCGCCCGUCACACCAUGGGAGUGGGUUGCAAAAGAAGUAGGUAGCUUAACCUUCG
RNAcentral lists this ribosomal RNA (680 nucleotides) under Escherichia sp. Its description in RNAcentral is "bacterial SSU rRNA". It matches the Rfam family "Bacterial small subunit ribosomal RNA", at positions 764 to 1444 of the family's 1533-position model. The record is from RNAcentral. Lineage: Bacteria; Pseudomonadati; Pseudomonadota; Gammaproteobacteria; Enterobacterales; Enterobacteriaceae.